This 3812-nucleotide long non-coding RNA is filed under the name Sus scrofa (pig). RNAcentral's name for it is "lncRNA (ENSSSCG00000058646.1)". The record is from RNAcentral. Lineage: Eukaryota; Metazoa; Chordata; Mammalia; Artiodactyla; Suidae.
UCGAGAGCACAUGAAGGCAUGGAAUCAUAUGGUGUGUUUUAGGAAUCAUAAGCAAUCCUAUGCUGUUGGGAGUAUUAGUUGAAGAGCAAUGGCAGGGAGGGAGAUGCAAACAUUAAGACUGGCCAGGUCAUGAAAAUCCCUUUCAUCCAGUUCAACAGCUUGAGCUUGAAUUCUAGGUCUUAGCCUUUCCAUAGAAAUAUAUUCCUCUGAAAUAUGAAUAAAAGGGGCCAUCUCAGAGUUCCCACUGUGGUGCAGUGGGUUAAGGAUCCAGCAUUGCUAUAGCUGUGGUGGUUGCAGCUGAGGGUCGGAUUUGAUCCCUGGGUUGGGAACUUCCAUAUGCCAUGGGUGAGGCCAAAAAAAGAAAAAAUACUAAAAUUUAAAUUUAAAAAGUGGCGAGAGAUGGGAGUAAGAUGACAGAGUAGAAGGACUGGAGCUCACCCUUCUCUCAUAAAAACAAUAAAACUACAAUCAAUUGCUGAACAACCUUCAACCCAAUAGACUACAAACCAUCAAAAAAGAUAUCCUACUCCAGAAGACAAAAGAGGAGGCCACAUCAAGACAGUAGGAGGGGUGACUGUGCGAUAUAAGCAACCCCACACCUGCUGGAUGGGCAGGCCACAGAUUGGAAAGUAACUAUCACACAGACUCACCUUUGGGAAUGAGAGUUCUGAGCCCCACAUCAGGUCCCCACGCCUGGGGAUCUGCCACUGGGAGAAGGAGCCCCUGGAGCAUUUGGCAUUGAAGGCCAGUGGGGCUUGUGCACAGGAGCUCCAUGGGACUGGGGGAAACAGAGACCCCAUUCUCGAAAGGCACACACAGGCUUUUUCAUGUGCACUGGGUCCCAGGGCAAAGCAGAGACUCCAUAGGAAUUUGGAUCAGACCUGCCUGCAGUUGGAUGUAUUUUACCUUUUGGAAUGAUAAUAAUAUAUUAAAAUUAGAUAAUGGUGAUGACUGCAUUACUCUGGGAAUACACUAAAAAUGAAUGAACUAUAGGAGUUCCCAUCGUGGUGCAGUGGUUAACGAAUCCGACUAGGAACCAUGAGGCUGCGGGUUCAACCCCUGGCCUUGCUCAGUGGGUCAAGGAUCCGGCGAUGCCCUGAGCUGCAGUGUAGGUUGAAGACGUGGCUCGGAUCCCCAGUUGCUGUGGCUCUGGUGUAGGCCAGUGUCUACAGCUCUAAUUAGACCCUUAGCGUAGGAACUUCCAUAUGUGGCAGGAGCGCCUCUCGAAAAGGCAAAAAGACAAAACAAACAAACAAAAACUAAUGAACUAUGCACUUUUUUUUUUUAGGGCUGCACUCACAGUAUAUGGAGGUUCCCAGGCUAGGGGUAAAAUCCGAGCUUCAGCUGCUGGUCUACACCACAGACACAGCAACGAGGGAUACAAGCCACAUCUGCGGCCCACACCACAGCUCAUGGCAACACCAGAUCCUUAACCCACUGAGCGAGGCCUGGGAUCGAACCCGCAACCUCAUGGUUAGUAGUCAGAUUUGCUUCCACUGUGCCACAACAGGAACUCCGAACUAUACACUUUAUAAGAGGUGAAUUUUAUGGUAACUUAUAUCUCAAUAAAGCUGUUACACAAUAAAGUGUUAAAUUUUACUUUUUUGCAUACUUAUUUGAAUUAUUUGCAAUAAGCAUGUAUUACUACUGCAAUUUCAAAAAAAACCCAAAGUUUUAUUUUAUUUUAUUUUUUAGGUCAUUUAAUUUGUUUAAUUUUAAUUUUUUUCAGAAGUAUAUUUACUGAAUUUUUUCUUUUUUAAUUUUUUAUUAUAGUUGAUUUACAAUGUCCUGCCAAUUUCUGCUGCAAAGCAAAGCAAAACAACCCAGUUAUACAUAUAUUCUGUUUCUCACAAUAUUCUCCAUCAUGUUCCAUUACAACUGAUUGUAUAGUUCCCUGUGCUAUACAGCAGGACCUCAUCACUUAUCCACUCCAAAUGCAAUAGUUUGCAACUACUAAUCCCAAACGCCCAGCCGACCCCACUCCCUCCCCCCCAACCAAAAUUUUAAAAAGUACUUUUUUUUUUUCUUGUGACAACGUUAUGCACACAUAUUUCCUGUGACAUUAACACCUCUUCUUUUUCUUUCAUCAACCUGGUGUCCUGAACAACUGCUGUCUUUCUUUAGGUAGAUAUUCAUGAGAGGAAGCAGCACCAGCUCCAACCCUAAAUAAUGCCAAGGAACACGAUCUUGCAGUAGGUCGGAGCUGCCCCAGGGCAUUUGGUUUACACAAAAAGAACCUAGAGAAAAGGUGGCAUGAACUACAACUAGGCUGUCUAAUACCUUCUAUUUUUUAUCUUCUGGCCUCUUGAAGAGGAAAAUUGAAACAAAAUUAUAGCAUAAACCAUGAUUUUGUAGUAUGCUACUGCCACCUUUGAUUACUUUUAAAAUUUCUUCUCUCCUUCGUUUUCGUCCUUGCUCCAAUAAUUGAAAAAUGUAAAUAAUAAUAAUGAUGAUGAUAAAAAGAAUUCCUCCAAUCCUGUGCUUCUCAAAACACAGUUCCCAGACCAGCAGCACCAACACUACCCGUGGACUUGUUAGAAAUGUAAAUUACUGCUGGCCGAACAUCCACACAAGGUGUGUGACACUCUGGGCGGGAGCCUGAGAGCGUGCCUUAACGAGCCCACUAGGCGAUUCUGAAGCACAGCCCAUGUUUUAGCACUUUUAAAUCCUGCUGCUUUUUCUUAACCAGCAGCUUUUCAGUGUAAUCUACAGUAGUAGGCGCUACGGAUUUGCUGAGUCACUUUCCCUUCCCUUAUCCUAACCUUCCAUUCACCACUCUGCUUUCUCUCCCCAGCCUACUUCUCUCAACAUUUUCUCUCCCAUCUUGGUGUCUGAUUGCUCCUUUUCAAAGAGCAACUCGGGUUUGCUGUCUUUUUCAAAGUUUCUGGCGAUUGCCAACAACACCCUACUUAAGAGAUUCCCCACAGCACUUCCUGGGAAGCGAGAUAAGAGGAUAUCAUGAAAAGAGGUUAUUUUUGCUUGAACACUUUAUGGCACUUAUUUUUAUGUGAAAAUAAGCGGGCCACGUUUAUUCACAAACUUGAAUGAGCAAAGAGGAGUUUAAUUUUUUAAAAUGCAUAUCCCAAGAUCUUAGAUUUUGAGAUGUAGAUGCGGUAUCUGGGGGUGGAGCCCAGUGGGCUCCAUUCUUACAAGUGCCAGUGGUGAUUUUGAAGGUGCCACCUUGCUCCCUUUGACAAACACCACACAAAGCAGGAGAUUUAGGGUGGGAUGGGGCUUCCAAACCUCUCCCCUUUGCAAAUAGACACUCAACUGGAAAAUCAGUACAAUUAAAAAAAAAAAGUAACACAGGUCCUACAUCUUUCUGGAACAUUUUUCAUGUCUUUGAUUUAGUGAUUUAGUGCUUAGGAAACAUUUCUAUCAAGUCCUUAGACUCUCAGGAUUAAAAAAUGUUAUUAACACCUGAAGAGUAACCCAUUAAUGUGGGGGAGUUGUUCUUUUAGGUGUGAAAGUUACUCUUGAAUAAUAUAUAUGCUGACUAGUUGUAGAAAAAAUUCUGACCUAGAAAUUAUCAUGCUAAGUGAAGUCAGCCAUACAAUGAGACGCCAACAUUAAAUGUUUUCACUGACAUGUGGAACUUCUUUGCAGAACAGAUACUGACUCACAGACUUGGAAAAACUCAUGGUCUCCAAGGGAGACAGUUUGGGGGGUGGGGGGAUGCGCUGGGGUUGUGGGAUGGAAAUCCUAUAAAAUUGGAUUGUGAUGAUCAUUGUACAACUAUAAAUGCAAUACAUUCAUUGAGUAAUUUAAAAAAGAUUUAAAAUGCAAUAAAUACAUAUUUAUCAAUAAAAAAG